RNAcentral lists this ribosomal RNA (440 nucleotides) under uncultured bacterium. RNAcentral describes it as "partial 16S ribosomal RNA". It matches the Rfam family "Bacterial small subunit ribosomal RNA", at positions 338 to 795 of the family's 1533-position model. The record is from RNAcentral.
CCUACGGGAGGCAGCAGUGGGGAAUAUUGCACAAUGGGGGAAACACUGAUGCAGCGACGCCGCGUGAGUGAAGAAGGAAUUCGUUAUGUAAAGCUCUAUCAGCAGGGAAGAAAAUGACGGUACCUGAGUAAGAAGCCCCGGCUAACGACGUGCCAGCAGCCGCGGUAAUCCGUAGGGGGCAAGCGUUAUCCGGAUUUACUGGGUGUAAAGGGAGCGUAGACGGCAGUGCAAGUCUGGAGUGAAAGGUGGGGGCUCAACCCCCAGACUGCUCUGGAAACUGUAAGGCUGGAGUGCAGGAGAGGUAAGUGGAAUUCCUAGUGUAGCGGUGAAAUGCGUAGAUAUUAGGAGGAACACCAGUGGCGAAGGCGGCUUACUGGACUGUAACUGACGUUGAGGCUCGAAAGCGUGGGGAGCAAACAGGAUUAGAUACCCCUGUAGUC